Molecule: ribosomal RNA, 239 nt
Filed under: uncultured bacterium
Lineage: Bacteria
Description: partial 16S ribosomal RNA
Rfam family: Bacterial small subunit ribosomal RNA
Source: RNAcentral
UACGAAGGGGGCUAGCGUUGCUCGGAAUUACUGGGCGUAAAGCGCACGUAGGCGGAUCGUUAAGUCGGGGGUGAAAUCCUGGAGCUCAACUCCAGAACUGCCUUCGAUACUGGCGAUCUCGAGUCCGGAAGAGGUGAGUGGAACUCCUAAUGUAGAGGUGGAAAUUCGUAGAUAUUAGGAAGAACACCAGUGGCGAAGGCGACUCACUGGUCCGGUACUGACGCUGAGGUGCGAAAAGC